CUCAUUUUCAAUAUACGAAUGAUUUACUUUUAUGUCAUAUUGAAUACCCAUAUAUCUAUCGGUAAGAAAAAUGUCUAAUUUGCAAUUGUUUUCAUUAAUUAUUUCAUUAAUCAUUAAUCAUUUCAAUAAUCCACAAGUAUUACGUUCUAAAUCACUUUGAACCAUUAAUUUUUGAACUAAUUUAAAACCAACUAUUUUUCCUGUCUGCACAUCAUAAUUGAAUAAGUAUAAUAUUUUGCACAGAAUCCAGGAAAGUCAAAUGGUCCAUCACCCGCAAGCCAAAUUUCAUUAGACCCAUUUUUAAGUUCUUCUAAAUUUUUUUUUCCUAUUC
This is a non-coding RNA of Cinara cedri, 331 nucleotides long. The record is from the annotation of a GenBank genome assembly. NCBI's taxonomy places the organism in Eukaryota, Metazoa, Arthropoda, Insecta, Hemiptera, Aphididae.